UCUUAUUACCUACUUAACAAUGUGAAUUCCAUAAACAAUUGUUACAAAAUUAUUUCUAAGAUAAUCAAUAAGACCCUUCUUAUUCAUUUGUCAUUUUCAUCCCUACAGAUAACCUAAGAUGCAUUAAAAAAAGAAAAGGAGUGGUUAGAUGCACGAAUAGAUGACAGUCUGAGGGGCAAGGGGCAGAGAGCUGUAAAGCAGCCAGUAAGGUAUUCACCUGAGCAGACUUCUGAAGAAUCUUGCUCUGAUGAGGAGAUAGUGGCACAAAAAAGACCCAGGAUCUGCAGUGUUCCUAAACCUAAUAAGAACAAAGUUGCUGCUGUACAAAAAGCUAAUUCUGAAUUGCUUGAGAAAUACAAAACAGCUAGCAAUACUAAUGAUGGAUAUCCUGGUCAGAUUAGCAGAGAUAGACUCCUUAAAAAAAUUGAAACUCUGGAGGAUGAGCUGCAAUGAAAAAGUAUUAAAAUAAAACAACUCGCUAAACUGAACAUGCAACUCCAAGAAGGCAUACCUGCACUGAUAGAUGCUUCAGUAAAGAAGUAUGUUCAGAAACAUCUACCAAGUAAAGUCAGGCCUACAGAAACUUCACCAGAACAAGCAGCAAAUCAGUUGCAUCCAGUUGCCAACUCUGCAACACAUGCAGAGAUUUCAUGCAACAGGGAUAGUAAGAUAGAUGGCUUAUUGAAUCCAAUAGCCCAGCAAGAGGCAAGACAGGCCAGUGACUAUAAAAAAAAUGACAAGAAAUCUGAUGGGGGCAAUGUUCUCAAAAGAACAAUUAACAGAGUCCUCAGUCACUGGCAAAAAAGGCAUCCCAUGCAAUGACGUCAGGCAGGCACUGGAUUCUUCGAAAGUUAGG
Long non-coding RNA from Acipenser ruthenus (sterlet), 856 nucleotides. RefSeq lists it as uncharacterized. The transcript is spliced from 4 exons. Lineage: Eukaryota; Metazoa; Chordata; Actinopteri; Acipenseriformes; Acipenseridae. The record is from RefSeq and is a predicted model, not a curated record.